This 1164-nucleotide ribosomal RNA is filed under the name Enterococcus faecium. Its description in RNAcentral is "bacterial SSU rRNA". It matches the Rfam family "Bacterial small subunit ribosomal RNA", at positions 42 to 1182 of the family's 1533-position model. Lineage: Bacteria; Bacillati; Bacillota; Bacilli; Lactobacillales; Enterococcaceae. The record is from RNAcentral.
GCGUGCCUAUACAUGCAGUCGAACGCUUCUUUUUCCACCGGAGCUUGCUCCACCGGAAAAGAGGAGUGGCGAACGGGUGAGUAACACGUGGGUAACCUGCCCAUCAGAAGGGGAUAACACUUGGAAACAGGUGCUAAUACCGUAUAACAAUCAAAACCGCAAGGUUUUGAUUUGAAAGGCGCUUUCGGGUGUCGCUGAUGGAUGGACCCGCGGUGCAUUAGCUAGUUGGUGAGGUAACGGCUCACCAAGGCCACGAUGCAUAGCCGACCUGAGAGGGUGAUCGGCCACAUUGGGACUGAGACACGGCCCAAACUCCUACGGGAGGCAGCAGUAGGGAAUCUUCGGCAAUGGACGAAAGUCUGACCGAGCAACGCCGCGUGAGUGAAGAAGGUUUUCGGAUCGUAAAACUCUGUUGUUAGAGAAGAACAAGGAUGAGAGUAACUGUUCAUCCCUUGACGGUAUCUAACCAGAAAGCCACGGCUAACUACGUGCCAGCAGCCGCGGUAAUACGUAGGUGGCAAGCGUUGUCCGGAUUUAUUGGGCGUAAAGCGAGCGCAGGCGGUUUCUUAAGUCUGAUGUGAAAGCCCCCGGCUCAACCGGGGAGGGUCAUUGGAAACUGGGAGACUUGAGUGCAGAAGAGGAGAGUGGAAUUCCAUGUGUAGCGGUGAAAUGCGUAGAUAUAUGGAGGAACACCAGUGGCGAAGGCGGCUCUCUGGUCUGUAACUGACGCUGAGGCUCGAAAGCGUGGGGAGCAAACAGGAUUAGAUACCCUGGUAGUCCACGCCGUAACGAUGAGUGCUAAGUGUUGGAGGGUUUCCGCCCUUCAGUGCUGCAGCUAACGCAUUAAGCACUCCGCCUGGGGAGUACGACCGCAAGGUUGAAACUCAAAGGAAUUGACGGGGGCCCGCACAACCGGUGGAGCAUGUGGUUUAAUUCCAACAACGCGAAGAACCUUACCAGGUCUUGACAUCCUUUGACCACUCUAGAGAUAGAGCUUCCCCUUCGGGGGCAAAGUGACAGGUGGUGCAUGGUUGUCGUCAGCUCGUGUCCUGAGAUGUUGGGUUAAGUCCCGCAACGAGCGCAACCCUUAUUGUUAGUUGCCAUCAUUCAGUUGGGACAUCUGCCAGGACCGCCCGUGAAGAACCGGAGAAGGGUUGGGGAUGA